AUUGAACGCUGGCGGCAGGCCUAACACAUGCAAGUCGAGCGGAUGAAGGGAGCUUGCUCCUGGAUUCAGCGGCGGACGGGUGAGUAAUGCCUAGGAAUCUGCCUGGUAGUGGGGGAUAACGUCCGGAAACGGGCGCUAAUACCGCAUACGUCCUGAGGGAGAAAGUGGGGGAUCUUCGGACCUCACGCUAUCAGAUGAGCCUAGGUCGGAUUAGCUAGUUGGUGGGGUAAAGGCCUACCAAGGCGACGAUCCGUAACUGGUCUGAGAGGAUGAUCAGUCACACUGGAACUGAGACACGGUCCAGACUCCUACGGGAGGCAGCAGUGGGGAAUAUUGGACAAUGGGCGAAAGCCUGAUCCAGCCAUGCCGCGUGUGUGAAGAAGGUCUUCGGAUUGUAAAGCGCUUUAAGUUGGGAGGAAGGGCAGUAAGUUAAUACCUUGCUGUUUUGACGUUACCAACAGAAUAAGCACCGGCUACUUCGUG
RNAcentral lists this ribosomal RNA (483 nucleotides) under uncultured bacterium. RNAcentral's name for it is "partial 16S ribosomal RNA". It matches the Rfam family "Bacterial small subunit ribosomal RNA", at positions 30 to 507 of the family's 1533-position model. The record is from RNAcentral.